Molecule: ribosomal RNA, 449 nt
Filed under: uncultured bacterium
Lineage: Bacteria
Description: partial 16S ribosomal RNA
Rfam family: Bacterial small subunit ribosomal RNA
Source: RNAcentral
AACGAACGCUGGCGGCAUGCCUAACACAUGCAAGUCGAACGAGAUCUUCGGGUCUCGGGGCGCACGGGUGCGUAACGCGUGGGAAUCUGCCCUUUGGUUCGGAAUAACAGUUGGAAACGACUGAUAAUACCGGAUGAUGACGAAAGUCCAAAGAUUUGUCGCCAGAGGAUGAGCCCGCGUAGGAUUAGCUAGUUGGUGUGGUAAAGGCGCACCAAGGCGACGAUCCUUAGCUGGUCUGAGAGGAUGAUCAGCCACACUGGGACUGAGACACGGCCCAGACUCCUACGGGAGGCAGCAGUGGGGAAUAUUGGACAAUGGGCGAAAGCCUGAUCCAGCAAUGCCGCGUGAGUGAUGAAGGCCUUAGGGUUGUAAAGCUCUUUUACCCGGGAUGAUAAUGACAGUACCGGGAGAAUAAGCUCCGGCUAACUCCGUGCCAGCCGCCGCCGUAA